UACAGAGGGUGCGAGCGUUAAUCGGAAUUACUGGGCGUAAAGCGUGCGUAGACGGUUAGAUAAGUCGGAUGUGAAAGCCCCGGGCUCAACCUGGGAAUUGCAUUCGAGACUGCCUAGCUAGGAUGCGGAAGAGGGAAGCGGAAUUUCCGGUGUAGCGGUGAAAUGCGUAGAUAUCUGAAGGAACACCAGUGGCGAAAGCGGCCUCCUGGUCCAGUACCGACGUUCAGGCACGAAAGCGUGGGGAGCAAACAGG
This 253-nucleotide ribosomal RNA is filed under the name uncultured bacterium. RNAcentral describes it as "partial 16S ribosomal RNA". It matches the Rfam family "Bacterial small subunit ribosomal RNA", at positions 524 to 776 of the family's 1533-position model. The record is from RNAcentral.